GAUGAACGCUGGCGGCGUGCUUAAUACAUGCAAGUCGAGCGAACAGACGAGGAGCUUGCUCCUCUGACGUUAGCGGUGGACGGGUGAGUAACACGUGGAUAACCUACCUAUAAGACUGGGAUAACUUCGGGAAACCGGAGCUAAUACCGGAUAACAUGUUGAACCGCAUGGUUCAACAGUGAAAGACGGUCUUGCUGUCACUUAUAGAUGGAUCCGCGCCGCAGUAGCUAGUUGGUAAGGUAACGGUUCACCAAGGCAACGAUGCGUAGCCGACCUGAGAGGGUGAUCGGCCACACUGGAACUGCGACACGGUCCAGACUCCUACGGGAGGCAGCAGUAGGGAAUCUUCCGCAAUGGGCGAAAGCCUGACGGAGCAACGCCGCGUGAGUGAAGAAGGUCUUCGGAUCGUAAAACUCUGUUAUUAGGGAAGAACAAAUGUGUAAGUAACUAUGCACGUCUUGACGGUACCUAAUCAGAAAGCCACGGCUAACUACGUGCCAGCCGCCGCGGUAA
Molecule: ribosomal RNA, 513 nt
Filed under: uncultured bacterium
Lineage: Bacteria
Description: partial 16S ribosomal RNA
Rfam family: Bacterial small subunit ribosomal RNA
Source: RNAcentral